Molecule: unclassified non-coding RNA, 99 nt
Organism: Cavia aperea (Brazilian guinea pig)
Lineage: Eukaryota; Metazoa; Chordata; Mammalia; Rodentia; Caviidae
Rfam family: Y RNA
About the family: Y RNAs are components of the Ro ribonucleoprotein particle (Ro RNP), in association with Ro60 and La proteins.
Source: Ensembl
GGCUGGUCUGAGUGUGUGGUGUUUACAACUAAUUAAUCACAACCAGUUACAGAUUUCCUUGUCCCUUCUCCACUCCCACUGCUUCACUUGAUUAGAGAG